This 460-nucleotide ribosomal RNA is filed under the name uncultured bacterium. RNAcentral describes it as "partial 16S ribosomal RNA". It matches the Rfam family "Bacterial small subunit ribosomal RNA", at positions 338 to 795 of the family's 1533-position model. The record is from RNAcentral.
CCUACGGGGGGCAGCAGUGAGGAAUAUUGGUCAAUGGACGGAAGUCUGAACCAGCCAAGUAGCGUGAAGGAUGACUGCCCUAUGGGUUGUAAACUUCUUUUAUAUGGGAAUAAAAUGUUCCACGUGUGGGAUUUUGUAUGUACCAUAUGAAUAAGGAUCGGCUAACUCCGUGCCAGCAGCCGCGGUAAUACGGAGGAUCCGAGCGUUAUCCGGAUUUAUUGGGUUUAAAGGGAGCGUAGGUUGAUUGUUAAGUCAGUUGUGAAAGUUUGCGGCUCAACCGUAAAAUUGCAGUUGAAACUGGCAGUCUUGAGUACAGUAGAGGUGGGCGGAAUUCGUGGUGUAGCGGUGAAAUGCUUAGAUAUCACGAAGAACUCCGAUUGCGAAGGCAGUUCACUGGACUGCAACUGACACUGAGGCUCGAAAGUGUGGGUAUCAAACAGGAUUAGAUACCCGAGUAGUC